CACAACAAAAAUUCAUAGAAUUAUAAAUUUAGUCCGAUUUCAUUACUAAAUAAAGAGAAGCGGGAACAGAGCAUCUAAAUCCAACAUUUGAAUAUUCAAGACUACAUAACCCAAACUUAAUUUACAGUCAUAACUAUAUUUAUUAAUAGCUUGCAACUAUGCUUCAAGCUUUAUACUUUCAUCCUUCAUUCAUUUAUUCUUUUCCGUUCCUAGCAACCUUAAUUAUCUGAAAAAAAUAUAAAGAGACAAAUGAGCUUUGCGUCUUAGUAAGUAACCAUGCACCACUUAUCGGAUGAAGCAUAAAUUUUUACAUGAUUCAAUGCAUCAUUUGGAAAGUAAAUUUAUAUUAUAAAAUAAAAUAUUUCAUAAAGAUAAUAACAAAUUGUAUCAUAGCAAAGCAAUUAUGUAUGCACAAAUUAUGCAAAUUCGUAAAGCUACAAGUAUAAUUUAAAAUAUUUAUAAUCAUCAAAUAUUUGCCAUUUAUCCAUACUUUCAAUUAGUGGCUCACAGAUUUUUCGCGCUACGGUCACUAUAAUCCAUAAUUGGGUCGUCUUCGUAAUCGACAAAAUAUCAUAAUUUCUGACUAGGAGAUACUGCAACACAGAUUCAUUAGGGUUGACCACAGGCCGAUCAUGGUGUUUGUGAUUAGAUUUGAAUAUAUUUGAACCCUUAGCCUGAUGAGGAUGUCAUGGCUUAAACAGAGGGAGUAUGUGACGAUAUAUGUGGACGUGUGUUUAGUCUCACAUCGAUUAUUCGCUGGGUAAAUCUUGGAUACUUAUACAGAAUUAAGAAAUCCAAAUAAUACCUUCCGGCUAGCUAUUUUGGAUGAGGUCUUAGGUUGUUACAAUACCAAUCUGAGAGCUCAUAAAAAAUCUUAUAUUUUCUUAAAAUAUAUUUUCUUAAAUUUUAUAUGAAUAAGAUGCUAAAUGACUUUACAGAGUUUGUAAUUCAUAUAUAAUCUUUAACAAUAAAACUAUCAUAAAAUUAUUUUCAGUAAAUCAACUAUUUUCAUAAAAGUUCAUAAUUCAUAAUUAGACCCAAUAUGUAUCACCUUCAUAAAAAAAUGCACUUUUUCAUAAUUUUAGAAAUCAUCCAUAUAUAAGUAUCCAUAAGACAAAAAAUAUGGAUCAUAAAACAAUCAUAUACUUGAUCCCAAAUUGCAAAAAAUCAUAUGAAUAUAAUUUAUAUUUUUAUAGUCCAUUAAAAUUGACCAAUAAUUCAAAAUUAGUAAAGUUUGUGCUAGAUCUUAUCUUUGUUCCCCCAAAAAUCAUUAGGUUUAGUUGGGCAAAUCCAUUGCACCUAUCAGAACUAUUUAAUAAGAAUAAAUUACUUGCUAUUCACUAUUUAAAAAAAAAUCUAAAUAUGAAUUUAAAAACUCUAAGGAACCCGAAAUGGAGAAAAGAUGAACCAAGGAUGAGACUUCUCUCUCAAUUUAUUUAUUUAUUUAAUUAUUCUCUCUUCCUUUUUUUCAUUUUCAUUUUCUCUUCCCUUUCUUCCUCUUCUUUCCUCUAUUUGGGAUCACCGUGCCCUGUCUUCGUGCCGCCAAAAUCAUGGUCGCAGCACCUCCUCAGAGCCAAGGUAAGGUCCUUGUCUCCUCCUUUGUUCUUUCUUUUUCUGAUCGACCCAGCAAUGGUGGAAAUCUGGCAAAGGUCAUCGGAUUUACACCAAAAAAAAAGAGAGAAUGCUUACUUGGUGGUCGAUCCGCCAUGCCGCCGGUCCUUGACUAUAGCCGCCGGUCCUCCGGCGGCCCAACGCCUGAAAUUUCUUUCACCUCCAACCAGUCCAAAAUCAUGCAUGUUUGAAGGCCACCCUGUUGGUCUUAAUUGAAUUUUGAUGGCAUUCCACAAACUACGGGCAAAGAAGCAUUUGGUACAUAAAUGAG
RNAcentral lists this long non-coding RNA (1882 nucleotides) under Phoenix dactylifera (date palm). RNAcentral describes it as "long non-coding RNA (PDAC_LNC003721)". The record is from RNAcentral. Lineage: Eukaryota; Viridiplantae; Streptophyta; Magnoliopsida; Arecales; Arecaceae.